Molecule: long non-coding RNA, 1319 nt
Filed under: Sorghum bicolor (sorghum)
Lineage: Eukaryota; Viridiplantae; Streptophyta; Magnoliopsida; Poales; Poaceae
Description: long non-coding RNA (SBIC_LNC002558)
Source: RNAcentral
UAGAUGAUCUGGGGCCCGUGCCCUGUCGAUUGUGGAUGACUUGCUCUGUCUUUUGCGUUUUUUAUCGCUCCCCUUUUUAUGGUACCCAACACUUGGGUUUUUACCUUUUUGAAUAAAAAUAGUCUUGCUCUUCAGAUGAUACUCUCAAAUCACUCGAGAAUGUUUCUGGUUCCAAGGUAAAAGUACCUCUUGAUUUGUCCUACCUCUAUAAGCUGUAUUUGGAGUUUUGGGUAUGGACCAAGGAGAAUGCAUACUUACCUUGUAUGUAUUGUCGAGUCAAAUCUCGGAUCCAAGAAGAGAAGUGUCAUACCCUUAGAUCAAGAUGUGCAAGUGUGUGCUAUAUGGUAUAAACAACUCCGUUGGUUGAUAUGAUCUCAUCAAGUAUUUCUAGACAUGGCUAUCAUAACUCUUUUAUUUUCUUGUGAGCCUUCAUGUGCUCAUCUUUUUUUUGUAUACUUAGGACCUUCAUGUGUCCUAUAUUUUUUUUCAGGUGGGUAUUUUUAUACCCCUAAUUCUACGGUGGGCACUUGCCCAUUUUUUUAAUAUAUUUUUGCAUAGCCCAUGUCUUUAUCUAAGAUGCACUAGAGAGAUCAUUCUUUAAAACAUGGAGUGUUUGUAUGGUGGACAUGUAAGGCAUGUUUUUGCGCACUCCUAGUGUAGAAGCGGCAUAUAUAUGUAUCUGGAGUGUACGUGAUCUUGAUCUUGAGAGCAUGAUAAAUCUCAUAACAAGGGUCAACAAGAUUUGACACAACUCAAAACAAAUAAGCAGCUAUUUGUAGAAUUUUUAUCAAGAGUAAUAUAUUUGGCCUUGGUAGGUAAUUAUCUAUCAUUGAAGAGCAGACUUUUUGCAAUUUUAAUUUUAUCAAAUAAAUCCCCAAGUUCAUUGCAUAAGUGAGCAAGUUUCAAAUCAUCCUACUAUAUCACAAAUCUCAAUUACUUAGAAGCAAUGGGGUCCUUAUAAAAAGUUGCUCAUAAAUGGUAGGCUUUUGGUGAGGAAUAAAGAGUAUGCAUGUUUAAUGUCAAAGGCAAAAAGGAAAUGGAGUAUUCAUUUAUUUUAUUAUUUUUUUAUCUUGUUAUUUUAUUAGCAAUAUUUUUAUCAUAUAAAUCAGAUUUAAAUUGUCAUAGGAGGAAUAAAAAUAAUUCUGAAAUUUUUUCUAUGUAAGAUUACCUUGAUGGCGAUUCCUACCCCACACUUGUUUUUGUACCUGUUCUUUGAUUUUUCUCAAGUAGACAAAAAUAAUACAAAAACAAGUGGAGACAAAAUAAUUCGAACAAAGAACUUCUUUAUUAUUAAAUAUAAGCCAAGACAUUGAUUACAA